Molecule: non-coding RNA, 53 nt
Filed under: Eutreptiella gymnastica
Lineage: Eukaryota; Euglenozoa; Euglenophyceae; Eutreptiales; Eutreptiaceae
Source: RNAcentral
AAAAGUCACAGACCACUGAGCACUGCUGCUUCCAGUUCACCACUGGGACCCUC